Molecule: non-coding RNA, 99 nt
Organism: Mycena vitilis
Lineage: Eukaryota; Fungi; Basidiomycota; Agaricomycetes; Agaricales; Mycenaceae
Source: the annotation of a GenBank genome assembly
GCGUUGGUCGUGCACGGCGCACACACCAAUCAUAUUGAGCAUAAUCCCGACCGUAAAAAUAUCGAUGGUAAAUCCGGGGUUCGACUCCCCGCCGACGCA